RNAcentral lists this ribosomal RNA (253 nucleotides) under uncultured bacterium. Its description in RNAcentral is "partial 16S ribosomal RNA". It matches the Rfam family "Bacterial small subunit ribosomal RNA", at positions 524 to 776 of the family's 1533-position model. The record is from RNAcentral.
UACGGAGGGAGCUAGCGUUGUUCGGAAUUAUUGGGCGUAAAGAGCGUGUAGGCGGCUUGGCAAGUCUGCUGUGAAAACUCGAGGCUCAACCUCGAGCUGUCGGUGGAAACUGCUUGGCUAGAGUCCGGAAGAGGAGAGUGGAAUUCCUGGUGUAGCGGUGAAAUGCGCAGAUAUCAGGAAGAACACCAGUGGCGAAGGCAGGUCUCUGGGCAUUAACUGACGCUGAGGAGCGAAAGCAUGGGGAGCGAACAGG